This 479-nucleotide ribosomal RNA is filed under the name uncultured bacterium. Its description in RNAcentral is "SSU rRNA". It matches the Rfam family "Bacterial small subunit ribosomal RNA", at positions 26 to 523 of the family's 1533-position model. The record is from RNAcentral.
AGGACGAACGCUGGCGGCGUGCUUAACACAUGCAAGUCGAACGGUAAGGCCCUUCGGGGUACACGAGUGGCGAACGGGUGAGUAACACGUGGGUGAUCUGCCCUGCACUUCGGGAUAAGCUUGGGAAACUGGGUCUAAUACCGGAUAUGACUACGAAUCGCAUGGUUUGUGGUGGAAAGCUUUUGCGGUGUGGGAUGGGCCCGCGGCCUAUCAGCUUGUUGGUGGGGUGAUGGCCUACCAAGGCGACGACGGGUAGCCGGCCUGAGAGGGUGUCCGGCCACACUGGGACUGAGAUACGGCCCAGACUCCUACGGGAGGCAGCAGUGGGGAAUAUUGCACAAUGGGCGCAAGCCUGAUGCAGCGACGCCGCGUGAGGGAUGACGGCCUUCGGGUUGUAACCUCUUUCAGUAUCGACGAAGCGCAAGUGACGGUAGGUACAGAAGAAGGACCGGCCAACUACGUGCCAGCAGCCGCGGUAA